Molecule: long non-coding RNA, 2683 nt
Organism: Solanum lycopersicum (tomato)
Lineage: Eukaryota; Viridiplantae; Streptophyta; Magnoliopsida; Solanales; Solanaceae
Source: RefSeq, a predicted model, not a curated record
AGCAUUAACCGGUUACUAAAUUCAUCUUGAGUCAAAUGAAAUAAACUAAUCUAUGUAAUUUAUUUAUUUAACACUUCACCGAUCACUUGGAAGAUUCCAAUUAAUAUUAGAAAAAAAAAAUAUAUAUAUAUACUAGCAUAACUUCCAACAUAGGCAUAUACUUCAGAUGGUCUUUUGAACGAAGGGAGCUAAUUUAAGAGCCCACAUUUUAAUUUUCCUUAUUUUUUUAGUAAAAAUUAGGCAAAUCACAUAGUCUAAGGGACAAGUUACUUUCAAUCCUUACUCUUUCACUAUUUACCAAAAUUCUUUUUUUAAAUAAUAAUUCGGAUACUUAAUAUUGCAGAAUGAUACUUAAAUUAGAGCAGACAAAUACUUUAAUAUUUAAUUUGUUGUUAUCAGUUAUAGCGUAAAAAAAGGGAUUACAUUUAUCCCACGAUUCACGCGGACGUUUAACAAAUUUAGCAUCCAAUCUGCACAAAACUCUAACUGAUUUGGGCAUUCGUGUAUUUUAAAUUGUGAAAUCUUCACACUGUUCUUUGAAAAAAACAACCAAAUUUUGUUUAAUAUAAGUCUGGAAUGCAAUUUGUGAAGAUUCAAAAAUGAAUAUUUCAAUCUUUUUAAGACAUUCUGGAUCAUGGAAAAGUGAUGUUAUAUACGAGCGAUACAAAAGUGAUGGGAUAGUGGUUAGGGAAAAUAUUUCGUUCAUGAAUUUUAUUUCAACAAUUGCGGCUGGGUUGGGUAUUGAUGAAUCGAAAAAAGAUAUUGAAAUUAGAUAUGUUGUUGAGGGUAAUUCGUCUCCAUUGUGUAUUCAGACUGAUAUGGGGUUGAAAUUGUACAUAAAAAAUUAAGAAACAUGAGGUGGAAUUUAGAAUGUAUCCUCUAUGCAUCGAUACAUCAGAUAAAUAUGUUAAAGAGAUAUUAAAUUUUGAUGCAACAACAGGUGCAAUUGUGUGUGUAAAGGUGGAAAAAACGACGCAAAGGCUCUAAGCAUUGUUGAAUAAAAAAAUGGUGAUACAUAUUACAUACCAGAAAUGGAGGUGAAAAAUUAUAUAUUAGAUAUCAAUAUUUCUGUUGUGUAAGAGAAACAAUUGUACAAAGAUAAAGCAGCUUUAAAGGUUGUAAUGGAAAAUUACAAAUAAAGAAUAACUUCAAUUUUAAAGUUAAAAGAUCUGACAACAAAAUGUAUGUUAUACAAUUAUAUGAUAAUGUCCUAAUAAUAUAUAUUUUGUUUAUAAUAUGUUUACCAUGAUACACUAAUAAUAUCUGUUACGUGUACUCGUAAUAUAAUGUAUCUUGUUCAUUUUGAUGUUUUUCUGGGUAUUAAUGUAUAAAGUAAUAAUGGUAGAUGAAAAAUGUUUAAGAGUAGAUUUGUGAUUACUUUACAGAAUAAAGUAUCAUAAUGUGAUAAAUGUAUUUAUGAAAGUAUCAAUUCGAUCUUGUAAUUGAAAUAAGGUAUCAUAAUGUACUUUUAUUUUUAUUUAUGUAUUAGUAACCUGACCAAAUAACUAAUAUAUGCUAUGUAAUUGGAGCUACAUAUUAGUUUGUUAUUCACAUGAUUGCUGUUGGAAAUUGAAGGUCUCUGUUAGGAAAAAAUCUGAGACAUUCAAAGCGUGAUACUUUAAUAGUAAACAUACAUGUCCAUUGAGGGAUAUGGUAUUAAGUAAGGUACAAGCUACUGUUGGGUUUGUUAGUGGUGUCACAACUCAAAAAUUAGGGAAUCAUAAAAGGAACAUACUCUAAACAAUAUAAUUGAGGAUAUUAGGGAAAUGUACGACAUUGAGAUUUCUUACCAACUAGCAUGGCGGGCUAAAGAGAGUGCAUUGGAAAUGAUAAGGGGUAAACCUGCUGAUGGAUAUACAAAAAUGCCAAGAUACAUAUAUAUGUUUGAAACUGUGUAUCCAAAUUCAUAUGUAAGUAUGCACAAGUCCGAAUAUAAUGAGUUUAUGUAUCUUUUCAUAUCAUUAAGGCCGAUGAUGAGAGGAUUUGAGUUUUGUAGUCCAGUUGUUGUUGUUGAUGUUUCACAUCUUAGUGGAGGUUAUCGAGGGACAUUUGUAUCUGCUAGUACACUCGAUGGAGCAGGUUGCAUAUUGCCUUUGGCGUACGAAAUUGUUGAGACGAAAAAUGAUUGUUCAUGGACAUAGUUCUUUCAACAGUUUAAAAAUGCAUUUGGUGAGAGGAUAAAAUGUGUGUUGUUGCAUCUUCUGAGUUUAUUUUUUCAGUGUAUGAUGGUGGAAUAGAUUCAUUGUUUGUCUUGAGAGGAAAACUUGUUCAUGUGGUAGAUUUUAAUAUGAUGAGAUACCUUGUCCGCAUGCAAUAGCCGUUCUGAAGAAGAAAAAUAUAACAGAUGUACACCCCUACAACUCUAUUUUAAACACGAUGCAUUAACAAAUACUUAUACAACUCCAAGGGAAUAAAUGCCAGACAAAAGUGAUUGGACAGCUCCGGACUGUGUUUUGAAGAAGUUGUCUUGCUACCUAGAUACAAAAAGAUGCCUGGUAGACCAAAAAAAAAGAGAAAGAAAAAUCCAGAUGAAAAGCUAACAACAAAAACUAAUUGUUGUGGACGUUGUGGACAAGACAGUCAUAAUAUAAGAACAUAUACCUUUUUUUCAAAAGAUUCUUGAUGAUUUUUCUUUUUUGUUGUUUUAUGCUUCAUGUGUAAUAAUGUUUCUGGAUAUCUUGAA